This 505-nucleotide ribosomal RNA is filed under the name uncultured bacterium. RNAcentral's name for it is "partial 16S ribosomal RNA". It matches the Rfam family "Bacterial small subunit ribosomal RNA", at positions 28 to 507 of the family's 1533-position model. The record is from RNAcentral.
GACGAACGCUGGCGGCGUGCCUAAUACAUGCAAGUAGAACGCACAGUUUAUACCGUAGCUUGCUACACCAUAAACUGUGAGUUGCGAACGGGUGAGUAACGCGUAGGUAACCUGCCUGGUAGCGGGGGAUAACUAUUGGAAACGAUAGCUAAUACCGCAUAAUAUUAAUUAUUGCAUGAUAAUUGAUUGAAAGAUGCAAUUGCAUCACUACCAGAUGGACCUGCGUUGUAUUAGCUAGUAGGUGAGGUAACGGCUCACCUAGGCGAUGAUACAUAGCCGACCUGAGAGGGUGAUCGGCCACACUGGGACUGAGACACGGCCCAGACUCCUACGGGAGGCAGCAGUAGGGAAUCUUCGGCAAUGGACGAAAGUCUGACCGAGCAACGCCGCGUGAGUGAAGAAGGUUUUCGGAUCGUAAAGCUCUGUUGUAAGAGAAGAACGGGUGUGAGAGUGGAAAGUUCACACUGUGACGGUAUCUUACCAGAAAGGGACGGCUAACUACGUG